CCUACGGGAGGCAGCAGUGGGGAAUAUUGCACAAUGGGGGAAACCCUGAUGCAGCGACGCCGCGUGAGUGAAGAAGUAUCUCGGUACGUAAAGCUCUAUCAGCAAGGAAGAAAAUGACGGUACUUGACUAAGAAGCCCCGGCUAACUACGUGCCAGCAGCCGCGGUAAU
This 169-nucleotide ribosomal RNA is filed under the name uncultured bacterium. RNAcentral's name for it is "partial 16S ribosomal RNA". It matches the Rfam family "Bacterial small subunit ribosomal RNA", at positions 338 to 524 of the family's 1533-position model. The record is from RNAcentral.